This 200-nucleotide ribosomal RNA is filed under the name uncultured bacterium. RNAcentral's name for it is "partial 16S ribosomal RNA". It matches the Rfam family "Bacterial small subunit ribosomal RNA", at positions 29 to 224 of the family's 1533-position model. The record is from RNAcentral.
AGUGAACGCUGGCGGUAGGCCUAACACAUGCAAGUCGAACGGCAGCACAGGAGAGCUUGCUCUCUGGGUGGCGAGUGGCGGACGGGUGAGGAAUACAUCGGAAUCUACCUUUUCGUGGGGGAUAACGUAGGGAAACUUACGCUAAUACCGCAUAUGACCUACGGGUGAAAGUGGGGACCGGCAAGGCCUCACGCGAUUAG